GACGAACGCUGGCGGCGUGCCUAACACAUGCAAGUCGAACGGAAAGGCCCUGCUUUUGUGCUGUGCUGGAGUGGCGAACGGGGGAGUAUCACGUGUGUAACCUGCCCUUGACUUUGGGAUAACAUAAGGAAACUGGGGCUAAUACAGGACAGGAGAUCCUGCUGCAUGGUGGGGGUUGGAAAGUGUCGGCGGUUGGGGAUGGACUCGCGGAUUAUCAGCUUGUUAGUGGGGUAGUGGCUUACCAAGGCUUUGACGGGUAGCCGGCCUGAGAGGGUGACCGGGCACAUUGGGCCUGAGGUAGGGCCCAGAGUGCUACGGGAGACAGCGGGGGGAAACAUUGCACAAUGGGCGGAAGCCGGAUACAGAAGCGUCGCGUUCGGAAUGACGGUCUUCUGGUUGUAAACCGCUUCCGCCUGUGACGAAGCGUGAGUGACGGUAAUGGAUAAAGAAGCACCGGCUAACUACGUG
RNAcentral lists this ribosomal RNA (468 nucleotides) under uncultured bacterium. RNAcentral describes it as "partial 16S ribosomal RNA". It matches the Rfam family "Bacterial small subunit ribosomal RNA", at positions 28 to 507 of the family's 1533-position model. The record is from RNAcentral.